CCUGACUAGUAAUCCAUUUUGCCGAUAGUUUAUUGCUACUUUUGAGGAAAGUUGUACUAGCAGUUUGUCCUUUAUUCUAUCUACUUAACCAUAAGUAAAAGUGUAGAAUCAGACAGGCGAUCUUGUAUCAGAAAGGGCACAAAUAUUUCAUUGAAUGCUGCAAAUUUAAGAUUUAUGACUCUACGUUUCCGCUUUUUCAUGAACAUUUGAAGGCAACAUUACCAGAUUGACAAGGUGGGACAGGGUGGGCGUGGAUCGUUGACGGGCUAUUUUGUGUGGCUGUUCCAGGUAAAGAUGAUAAUAUCCUAAGCCCAUUUACGUGUUCAUGUGUUUUAUUUAGGCUCUGGUGAUGUAAAGGAUGACUAUUCAUCUCCUGACACCCGAUCUGCAAGAGAACAGAGCAAAUCUAAAGAGAUCUACCUAUUUGGUGCCUGAAUCAAUCCCCGUGGGAAAACUUCAUCAACCCCCCAGCCAAGUGUUAAGGAAUAAAGCAGGCAAAGUGCAGCGUCCAACCUACUCCAGUUUCCAGGCCAGAAAUUUCUUUGGUCAAGGCGUUUGGUUUGGCAGGAGUGGUACUGACCUACUAAUGCCUCAAGCUACCAUUCUCUUACUUACUCUGGGUAUUAUCCAGAGUAAAAUGUCUAGUUUAAAGACCAUUAAUUACAACCAGCAGUCAUUUAAUUAAACUUCAGGGGCAUGAUUUAUCUUUUUUAUUCAGUUUCCUUCCAUAUCUUUGAGUAAAAGCAACAAUGUUGAGGAAAUUAACAUGAAGUAUACAGUAUUGUACACUAAAGAACUCUUGUUCCACAUGACAGACAGUGCUGUAGUGCUGUCUUAGAUCAGACAAACCACAAACUCCUGACAACUUUUGGC
Molecule: non-coding RNA, 873 nt
Organism: Xyrichtys novacula (pearly razorfish)
Lineage: Eukaryota; Metazoa; Chordata; Actinopteri; Labriformes; Labridae
Source: the annotation of a GenBank genome assembly